ACACGGGGGGCGCAAGCGUUAUUCGGAAUUAUUGGGCGUAAAGGGCGCGUAGGCGGUUUUGUCGGUCAGAUGUGAAAGCCCGGGGCUCAACCCCGGACGUGCAUUUGAAACAGCAAGACUUGAGUACGGGAGAGGAAAGCGGAAUUCCUGGUGUAGAGGUGAAAUUCGUAGAUAUCAGGAGGAACACCGAUGGCGAAGGCAGCUUUCUGGACCGAUACUGACGCUGAGGCGCGAAGGCGUGGGUAGCGAACAGGAUUAGAAACCCUAGUAGUCC
This 274-nucleotide ribosomal RNA is filed under the name uncultured bacterium. RNAcentral describes it as "partial 16S ribosomal RNA". It matches the Rfam family "Bacterial small subunit ribosomal RNA", at positions 523 to 796 of the family's 1533-position model. The record is from RNAcentral.